CCACGAUCCUCCCUGCCCAGCCCAGGGAGCCGGCAGCUCCUGGCCUGCCCGGGGGUCCUCAGUGUCCUCGCCUUUCAGAUGGAGGGCAGCUGCCUGUUCCCGACCCCUGUCACUGCCCUGUCACGCUGUACAGACUCAAUGCCUUUCAUCCUCCGCCAAGUCCGUCCCUCCUGGACCCGGCCUUCCUCCUCUGAACCUGCUCCGGGGGCCCCACCCUCUGAGCCCUCAAAUUCUGAGCUGGAUGUCACCUCUCCCUCUUCAGUGGGGAAGGGACUUCCCGACAUGGCGACCUCCUCCUAGUCCCCCCGAUUUCCUUCCAGCCAUUCUCCCAGGAGACUCCCCACUUUCGGCCUCUCCGAGAGUCAGCCUCCAUUCCCCCUCCCCCUUCCUGGGGCGCGGGCAACAGGUCUGAUUAUUGACCCCAUUUAAGGAGGCGUGAACGCUGAUGCCCCCGCUGCGGAGGAGGUCGGUCCAGGUCAUCAUUGUCAUCUACCUGUCGGUGGUGGGGGCCCUCCUGCUCUACAUGACUUUCCUGAUGCUGGUGGACCCUCUGAUCCGAAAGCCGGAUGCGUACACAGAACAGCUGCACAAUGAGGAGGAGAACGAGGAUGCUCGCUCUAUGGCGGCUGCCGCGGCCUCCUUCGGGGGACCCCGCGCCAACACGGUCCUGGAACGUGUGGAAGGCGCUCAGCAGCGGUGGAAGCUGCAGGUGCAGGAGCAACGGAAGACGGUCUUCGAUCGGCACAAGAUGCUCAGCUAGAGGGCCCGGCACAGUCGGGCCAAGGACCAGCGGCCACGGCUGGAUAGAGCCAGGGGCCACUCUCCCCUCCUUCGACGCCACCCUUCCUGGGUCUUCCCUUUAAAAGCCUGUGGCGUUUUUUCCUCCUUCUGCCCCUCUUUAGAAACGUUGUUCUCAGCUGAGUUAAUUCCGGAAGCGUGAUGGGGUCCCCGAUCUCUCGUUCGCCUGCUCAGGUCUUGGGGGUUUGUGGGGGGAAGGCAGGCCAAGAGGGGAUGGAGGCGUCCGUCUCAGGCGGCCUCAGGGUUGGAAGGAGCCUCUCUCUCAUUGCUCCACCCUUGCCACCUCUCCGGCUCCAAAUCCCGGGAAGGUUCCAGCCUCUGGAAGGUGGAGCUGGGUCGUCAGGACCUCGGUGUGUGGGAGGAAAGCCUGGCCCCUGCCACCUGUGCUGCUUUCUGCUGUGGUUGUGGUGGCUGCCUUCCUCGCCACCCCGAGACGUCAGCCCCCGAGCACCCAUCCCCUCUUCCUCCUCCCUCCUCUCCUCCCCUGACGCAUGGUGGUGGCCGUGCACCCUGCCUCCUCUCGGCCCGGCCCUCCCGCCCACUCAGGAGGCCAGGCAGGCCCCUUGCCUCCCUGUGUGUGUUGUCACUGAGCCAGACGGGUGGUGGGACCACGCGGCACAAGGCCGGGCGGUGGCUCUGAAUGCCACAGCCUUGGGGCACCACGCAUCCCUGAAUUUCCUUGUAGCGUGCAUGGGCAGACAUGUUUGUCUACCGUUGUCUGUAAGUCAAGGAAGCCAUCAUUAAAUUGUCUUAUUUCUCACUUUCU
Long non-coding RNA from Equus caballus (horse), 1564 nucleotides. Lineage: Eukaryota; Metazoa; Chordata; Mammalia; Perissodactyla; Equidae. The record is from Ensembl.